RNAcentral lists this long non-coding RNA (563 nucleotides) under Homo sapiens (human). RNAcentral's name for it is "HSALNT0202214". The record is from RNAcentral. Lineage: Eukaryota; Metazoa; Chordata; Mammalia; Primates; Hominidae.
CGAAAACUUCUCAAAGUCCCUAACAUUUAUCUGACACCUCAACUGUGAAUUUACAUUUCAUUUGCAUGAGUCUCAUGUCUGCAACUAGGUUGUGGUGACCUUGAGAACGAGGGGAUCAAGAGCCUUGUCCAGCACUGGGAGUGGAGGUGGUUGGAAAUCCCGGACCCCCGGUCCACCAGCCUUGGCCUCCUGCAGAUGCUAGGCUCAGGAUGAAGUGCGGCCGAAGACUGCUGGGAAAAGAAAAGAAAGAGCCCUAAUGUGCCAUAUCGGGCAAGCCGUGGGGUGGCCCACUAACUGCUUUUUUAUGAUUGUCACUUACUGGCUCUGAUUUAACCCCACUUAAAGAGUGGUGGCAGCAAUUGUGGAGGGCCUCAAAGGGAGACUGAUGCAAGUGAGGGCAAAGUAUUAUUGGGAACGAGGUCAAAUGGGUGAUGAAUGGGCCAUUAUGAGGAGGGGCAAACUGCCAUCGUUAGGGAUGCUGCAACAAGCUGGACGUUGAUCUAUUGUCCGCUCUGAGAUCCUCCAACAGGCCAUUAUGGCUCCCCUAAUGAGAUUGUCAUGCA